RNAcentral lists this ribosomal RNA (423 nucleotides) under uncultured bacterium. RNAcentral describes it as "partial 16S ribosomal RNA". It matches the Rfam family "Bacterial small subunit ribosomal RNA", at positions 360 to 774 of the family's 1533-position model. The record is from RNAcentral.
AAUCUUCCGCAAUGGACGAAAGUCUGUCGGAGCAACGUCGCGUGAGUGAUGAAGGUCUNCGGAGCNUNAAACUCUGUUGUUAGGGNAGAACAAGUAUCGUUCGAACAGGCCGGUACCUUGACGGUACCUAACCAGAAAGCCACGGCUAACUACGUGCCAGCAGCCUCGGUAAUACGUAGGUGGCAAGCGUUAUCCGGAUUUAUUGGGCGUAAAGCGCGCGCAGGCGGUUUCUUAAGUCAGAUGUGAAAGCCCACGGCUCAACCGUGGAGGGUGAUUGGAAACUGGGAAGCUUGAGUGCAGAAGAGGAGAGUGGAAUUCCAUGUGUAGCGGUGAAAUGCGUAGAGAUAUGGAGGAACACCAGUGGCGAAGGCGACUCUCUGGUCUGCAACUGACGCUGAGGCGCGAAAGCGUGGGGAGCAAACA